RNAcentral lists this non-coding RNA (955 nucleotides) under Neoromicia somalicus (Somali serotine). RNAcentral describes it as "12S ribosomal RNA". It matches the Rfam family "Bacterial small subunit ribosomal RNA". Lineage: Eukaryota; Metazoa; Chordata; Mammalia; Chiroptera; Vespertilionidae. The record is from RNAcentral.
UAUAGGUUUGGUCCUGGCCUUUCUAUUAGUUAUUAGUGAACUUACACAUGCAAGAAUCUUCAUUCCUGUGAAAAUGCCCUCUAACCAUUAUUUGGUCACAGGAGCUGGUAUCAAGCACACCUCAGAGUAGCUCAUAACACCUUGCUCAGCCACACCCCCACGGGAAACAGCAGUGAUAAAAAUUAAGCAAUAAAUGAAAGUUUGACUAAGUUACACUAGUAUUAGGGCUGGUGAAUUUCGUGCCAGCCACCGCGGUCAUACGAUUAGCCCAAACUAAUAGACAAUCGGCGUAAAGUGUGUUUUAGAGUAAAAUUAAAAAUAAAGCCAAGUUUUAACCAAGCUGUAAAAAGCCUCGGUUACUGUAAGAUACGUGACGAAAGUAGCUUUAAAAUUUCUGACUACACAAUAGCUAAGACCCAAACUGGGAUUAGAUACCCCACUAUGCUUAGCCCUAAACAUAGAAAAUUAUAAACAAAAUUAUUCGCCAGAGUACUACCAGCAAAAGCUAGAAACUCAAAGGACUUGGCGGUGCCUUAUAUCCUUCUAGAGGAGCCUGUUCCGUAAUCGAUAAACCCCGAUAAACCCGACCAACCUUUGCUAAAUCAGCCUAUAUACCGCCAUCCUCAGCAAACCCUAAAAAGGAAGCACAGUAAGCACAAAUAUUAACAUAAAUACGUUAGGUCAAGGUGUAGCCCAUGGGUUGGAGAGAAAUGGGCUACAUUUCCCUAACCAGGGAUAUAUUACGAAAAUUUAUGUGAAACCAUUAAUCAAAGGUGGAUUUAGCAGUAAAUUGAGAAUAGAGCGCUUAAUUGAAUAGGGCCAUGAGGCACGCACACACCGCCCGUCACCCUCCUCAAGCAAUAAGUAUAAAAUAAUUCCUAAAUAUUAUAUAUAAUUUGCAAGAAGAGAUAAGUCGUAACAAGGUAAGUGUACUGGAAAGUGCACUUGGAUAAUA